This 424-nucleotide ribosomal RNA is filed under the name uncultured bacterium. RNAcentral describes it as "partial 16S ribosomal RNA". It matches the Rfam family "Bacterial small subunit ribosomal RNA", at positions 359 to 775 of the family's 1533-position model. The record is from RNAcentral.
GAAUAUUGGACAAUGGGCGCAAGCCUGAUCCAGCCAUACCGCGUGGGUGAAGAAGGCCUUCGGGUUGUAAAGCCCUUUUGUUGGGAAAGAAAAGCAGUCGGCUAAUACCCGGUUGUUCUGACGGUACCCAAAGAAUAAGCCCCGGCUAACUUCGUGCCAGCCACCGCGGUAAUAAGAAGGGUGCAAGAGUUACUCGAAAUGACUGGGCGUAAAGCGUGCGUAGGUGGUGGUUUAAGUCUGUUGGGAAAGCCCUGGGCUCAACCUGGGAAUUGCAGUGGAUACUGGGAGACUAGAGUGUGGUAGAGGGUAGUGGAAUUCCCGGUGUAGCAGUGAAAUGCGUAGAGAUCGGGAGGAACAUCCAUGGCGAAGGCAGCUACCUGGACCAACACUGACACUGAGGCACGAAAGCGUGGGGAGCAAACAG